This 119-nucleotide ribosomal RNA is filed under the name Pteropus alecto (black flying fox). Lineage: Eukaryota; Metazoa; Chordata; Mammalia; Chiroptera; Pteropodidae. The record is from RNAcentral.
GUCUAUGGCCAUGCCACACUGAAUGUGCCUGAUCUCAUCUGAUCUUGGAAGUUAAGCAGGAUCGGGCCUGGUUAGUACUUGGAUGGGAAACCGCCUAGGAAUACCAGGUGCUAUAGGCA